CACUGGACGGGCAGGCCGCC
RNAcentral lists this microRNA (20 nucleotides) under Spodoptera frugiperda (fall armyworm). Its description in RNAcentral is "sfr-miR-10485-3p". The record is from miRBase by way of RNAcentral. Lineage: Eukaryota; Metazoa; Arthropoda; Insecta; Lepidoptera; Noctuidae.